RNAcentral lists this transfer RNA (85 nucleotides) under Felis catus (domestic cat). It matches the Rfam family "tRNA". Rfam says of the family: Transfer RNA (tRNA) molecules are approximately 80 nucleotides in length. Their secondary structure includes four short double-helical elements and three loops (D, anti-codon, and T loops). Lineage: Eukaryota; Metazoa; Chordata; Mammalia; Carnivora; Felidae. The record is from Rfam by way of RNAcentral.
GCCUGGGUGGCUUAGUCGGUUAAGCAUCUGACUUCCGCUCAGGUCUUAAUCUCACGGCUUGUGGGUUCGAGCCCCGCUUCGGGCU